Molecule: ribosomal RNA, 312 nt
Filed under: uncultured bacterium
Lineage: Bacteria
Description: bacterial SSU rRNA
Rfam family: Bacterial small subunit ribosomal RNA
Source: RNAcentral
GACGAACGCUGACAGAAUGCUUAACACAUGCAAGUCGAGGGGCAGCACUAGGUAGCAAUACUGAGGUGGCGACCGGCGCGACGGGUGCGUAACGCGUAUCCAACCUUCCCGUUACUCUUGGAUAGCCUUCCGAAAGGGAGAUUAAUACAAGAUGGUAUUCAAAUUCCGCAUGUUAUUUGAAUUAAAGAUUUAUCGGUAACGGAUGGGGAUGCGUGACAUUAGAUAGUAGGCGGGGUAACGGCCCACCUAGUCUACGAUGUCUAGGGGUUCUGAGAGGAAGGUCCCCCACACUGGAACUGAGACACGGUCCAG